This 443-nucleotide small RNA is filed under the name Drosophila yakuba. Its description in RNAcentral is "GE28827". The record is from RNAcentral. Lineage: Eukaryota; Metazoa; Arthropoda; Insecta; Diptera; Drosophilidae.
AACGUAUCAUAUAUCAGAGCUGGUUUGAAUCUUCCCUAUGUCCAUGACGACAGGCCUUACAACCACGACCUGUACACAGUAAGUAACGCCGAGUUUAACGUACCAGAAAUCCCCUUGGAGUACGGCUUCCCCGAUCAUGAACCCCAUCACCAACCGAGCACACAGUACUAAGAUCCCACCAGAUCCCACAAGAAUCCUAAACAUCGUAUUCCAACAUCCGGCCAACACAGCGAAACCUACCCCCAAAAUCAAAUCCCAAAACCCCCUGCUUUCAUAACCAAUCCAAGCAAAAAUGCGAAUGUUUUUCGGCUCCGCAACAAAAACCACCAUUCCGCGCUACAUGACACCCCACAUUCGGUAUCCUGAUAUCCCGCAUGACCCCCAAAAAAAUCCUUUGCCACCAAACACCAUGCCACACACUCGCAUGCACACACGCCCGAUCA